UUUUAGUCAAGAGGCAGCGAAAGAAGACGUCUUCAGCGGACAAAGCUGAGCAGCCUAAAAAGAGACGUAAAACAAGCAAAGAAGCUGAAACACAGGACUCUUCAGAGGGAACCGACAAAAAGCAAAGAAGGCAGAAACCCGACGGAGACUCCAAGGAACCCAAGAAGAAGAAGAAGACGACAGCGAAACUCAAAGCUCUCCUCCCCGAGAACCAAGACGCAGAGAAGCCAGAGCGCAGUAGGAAAAGGAAGCAGGACGGGGGGAACGCGAGCGCCCCCUCCACGGCCAAGAGAAGGCGGCUCACGCCGUGUCA
Molecule: long non-coding RNA, 313 nt
Organism: Gasterosteus aculeatus aculeatus (three-spined stickleback)
Lineage: Eukaryota; Metazoa; Chordata; Actinopteri; Perciformes; Gasterosteidae
Source: Ensembl